RNAcentral lists this ribosomal RNA (823 nucleotides) under Stenotrophomonas terrae. RNAcentral's name for it is "bacterial SSU rRNA". It matches the Rfam family "Bacterial small subunit ribosomal RNA". The record is from RNAcentral. Lineage: Bacteria; Pseudomonadati; Pseudomonadota; Gammaproteobacteria; Lysobacterales; Lysobacteraceae.
GGGCGAGGGUAGGGAGGUUGGUUAGGUGGUAUCGGGAGUUUAGUAAGAGGUUGCUCUUUGGGUGGCGAGUGGCGGACGGGUGAGGAAUGCAUCGGAAUCUACUCUGUCGUGGGGGAUAACGUAGGGAAACUUACGCUAAUACCGCAUACGACCUACGGGUGAAAGCCGGGGACCUUCGGACCUGGCGCGAAUGAAUGAGCCGAUGCCCGAUUAGCUAGUUGGCGGGGUAAGAGCCCACCAAGGCGACGAUCCGUAGCUGGUCUGAGAGGAUGAUCAGCCACACUGGAACUGAGACACGGUCCAGACUCCUACGGGAGGCAGCAGUGGGGAAUAUUGGACAAUGGGCGCAAGCCUGAUCCAGCCAUACCGCGUGGGUGAAGAAGGCCUUCGGGUUGUAAAGCCCUUUUGUUGGGAAAGAAAUCCAUCUGGUUAAUACCCGGUUGUUCUGACGGUACCCAAAGAAUAAGCACCGGCUAACUUCGUGCCAUCAGCCUCGGUAAUACGAAGGGUGCAAGCGUUACUCGGAAUUACUGGGCGUAAAGCGUUCGUAGGUGGUUGGGGAAGUCAUUCGUUAAAGUCCUGUUCGCAUCCGCGUAACUACGGUGUAGACACAAUGACUAGAGUAUGUGUUAGGGUUGAGGGAUUCGCUGGUUUACAAUUGUAUGUGUCGAUUUAUUUAGGAUGGUAUGUGGCGUUUGUUUCUAUGUUGAUUUCGCUUGGCUCUGUGGAACAUUACGUUGUUUGUGUGAGAGUAUAAUUUUUUGAGUUGAAUGGGUGUUUGGGUUUGUACAGAGUUUCCGGGGGGGGGGGGGUUUUUUUGUUU